This 227-nucleotide unclassified non-coding RNA is filed under the name Glomus sp. Its description in RNAcentral is "partial contains 5.8S ribosomal RNA and internal transcribed spacer 2". The stretch from base 1 to 71 matches the Rfam family "5.8S ribosomal RNA", at positions 84 to 154 of the family's 154-position model. Lineage: Eukaryota; Fungi; Glomeromycota; Glomeromycetes; Glomerales; Glomeraceae. The record is from RNAcentral.
GUGAAUCAUCAAAUUUUUGAACGCAAAUUGCACUUUCUGGUAUUCCGGGAAGUAUGCCUGUUUGAGGGUCAGUUAUAUAAAAAUCGUUGUUGUUGCUGCCUUUCGUGGUGAAGCGUCGGAAUUGGGUCGUAUUACCUUCGGUUACGUGAAUUAUAAUUUUUGCAUGAUUUUCGAACGUAUUUAAGUCGCUUACGUACGUUCGAGCUAUAGAUUGAUAUUUAGGUUUG